UUGGAGGGCAGUCUGGUGCAGCAGCCGCGGUAAUUCCAGCUCCAAUAGCGUAUAUUAAAGUUGUUGCAGUUAAAAAGCUCGUAGUUGAAUUUCGGGAUUGACGUGAUGGUCAUGCCUUAAGGGGUAUGAACUGUUACAGUUGAUUUCUCACCUUCUGGAGAAACUUGAUGUCCUUUAUUGGGUGUCUUGCGGAUCCAGGACCUUUACCUUGAAAAAAUUAGAGUGUUUAAAGCAGGCAUUUUUGCUCGAAUACAUUAGCAUGGAAUAAUAGGAUAGGACGGCAUGGUUCUAUUUUGUUGGUUUCUAGGAUCACCGUAAUGAUUAAUAGGGAUAGUUGGGGGCAUUAGUAUUCAAUUGUCAGAGGUGAAAUUCUUGGAUUUAUUGAAGACUAACUACUGCGAAAGCAUUUGCCAAGGAUGUUUUCAUUAAUCAAGAACGAAAGUUAGGGGAUCGAAGACGAUCAGAUACCGUCGUAGUCUUAACCAUAAACUAUGCCGACUAGGAAUCAGACGAUGUUAAUUUUUUAAUGACUCGUUCGGCGCCUUACGGGAAAC
RNAcentral lists this ribosomal RNA (554 nucleotides) under uncultured Glomeromycotina. RNAcentral describes it as "SSU rRNA". It matches the Rfam family "Eukaryotic small subunit ribosomal RNA", at positions 548 to 1098 of the family's 1831-position model. Lineage: Eukaryota; Fungi; Glomeromycota. The record is from RNAcentral.